RNAcentral lists this ribosomal RNA (319 nucleotides) under uncultured Actinomycetes bacterium. Its description in RNAcentral is "bacterial SSU rRNA". It matches the Rfam family "Bacterial small subunit ribosomal RNA", at positions 28 to 351 of the family's 1533-position model. Lineage: Bacteria; Bacillati; Actinomycetota; Actinomycetes. The record is from RNAcentral.
GACGAACGCUGGCGGCGUGCUUAACACAUGCAAGUCGAACGGAAAGGCCCUUCGGGGUACUCGAGUGGCGAACGGGUGAGUAACACGUGAGUAACCUGCCCCCUUCUUUGGGAUAACUGUCGGAAACGAUGGCUAAUACCGGAUAUACACCUGCGGUCGCAUGGUUGUUGGUGGAAAGUUUUUCGGUGGGGGAUGGGCUCGCGGCCUAUCAGCUUGUUGGUGGGGUGAUGGCCUACCAAGGCUUUGACGGGUAGCCGGCCUGAGAGGGCGACCGGCCACACUGGGACUGAGACACGGCCCAGACUCCUACGGGUGGCUG